UACGGGGGGUGCAAGCGUUGUCCGGAAUCAUUGGGCGUAAAGCGUUCGUAGGCGGCAAGAUAAGUCAGAUGUUAAAGCCCGAGGCUCAACUUCGGUUCGGCAUUUGAUACUGUCUAGCUUGAAUGUGGUAGAGGUAAAGGGAAUUCCUGGUGUAGCGGUGAAAUGCGUAGAUAUCAGGAGGAACAUCGGUGGCGAAAGCGCUUUACUGGGCCAUUAUUGACGCUGAGGAACGAAAGCCAGGGGAGCAAAUG
RNAcentral lists this ribosomal RNA (251 nucleotides) under uncultured bacterium. RNAcentral describes it as "partial 16S ribosomal RNA". It matches the Rfam family "Bacterial small subunit ribosomal RNA", at positions 524 to 774 of the family's 1533-position model. The record is from RNAcentral.